Molecule: transfer RNA, 74 nt
Filed under: Nanobdellati archaeon
Lineage: Archaea; Nanobdellati
Description: tRNA-Ala
Rfam family: tRNA
About the family: Transfer RNA (tRNA) molecules are approximately 80 nucleotides in length. Their secondary structure includes four short double-helical elements and three loops (D, anti-codon, and T loops).
Source: RNAcentral
GGGCUGAUAGUUAAACCCGGUAUAACGCGCGCAUGGCAUGCGUGAGGCUUGGGGUUCAAAUCCCCAUCAGUCCA